RNAcentral lists this ribosomal RNA (660 nucleotides) under uncultured bacterium. RNAcentral's name for it is "bacterial SSU rRNA". It matches the Rfam family "Bacterial small subunit ribosomal RNA", at positions 94 to 788 of the family's 1533-position model. The record is from RNAcentral.
AGUGGCGGACGGGUGAGUAACGCGUGAGAAUCUGCCUUGGGGUCGGGGACAACCACUGGAAACGGUGGCUAAUACCGGAUAAGCCGAUUGGUGAAAGAUUUAUUGCCCGAAGAGGAGCUCGCGUCUGAUUAGCUAGUUGGUGAGGUAAGAGCUCACCAAGGCAGCGAUCAGUAGCUGGUCUGAGAGGACGAUCAGCCACACUGGGACUGAGACACGGCCCAGACUCCUACGGGAGGCAGCAGUGGGGAAUUUUCCGCAAUGGGCGAAAGCCUGACGGAGCAAGACCGCGUGAGGGAGGAAGGCUCUUGGGUUGUAAACCUCUUUCCUCAGGGAAGAAGCUCUGACGGUACCUGAGGAAUCAGCCUCGGCUAACUCCGUGCCAGCAGCCGCGGUAAUACGGAGGAGGCAAGCGUUAUCCGGAAUUAUUGGGCGUAAAGCGUCCGCAGGUGGCGAUUCAAGUCUGCUGUCAAAGCACGGGGCUUAACUCCGUAAAGGCAGUGGAAACUGAAUAGCUAGAGUGCCGUAGGGGUAGAGGGAAUUCCCGGUGUAGCGGUGAAAUGCGUAGAGAUCGGGAAGAACAUCGGUGGCGAAAGCGCUCUACUGGACGGCAACUGACACUCAGGGACGAAAGCUAGGGGAGCGAAUGGGAUUAGAUACCCC